CCUCCUAUAGUCUAGCGGUAAGGACAAUGGUUCUUGAUACCAUGAGCAUGUGUUCGAAUCACAUUAGGAGGU
The sequence is a transfer RNA, 72 nucleotides long. It matches the Rfam family "tRNA". Rfam says of the family: Transfer RNA (tRNA) molecules are approximately 80 nucleotides in length. The record is from Rfam.